ACACUCCUGCGGGAGGCAGCAGUGGGGAAUUUUGGACAAUGGGCGAAAGCCUGAUCCAGCAAUGCCGCGUGAGUGAAGAAGGCCUUCGGGUUGUAAAGCUCUUUUGUCAGGGAAGAAACGGUGAGAGCUAAUAUCUUUUGCUAAUGACGGUACCUGAAGAAUAAGCACCGGCUAACUACGUGCCAGCAGCCGCGGUAAUACGUAGGGUGCAAGCGUUAAUCGGAAUUACUGGGCGUAAAGCGUGCGCAGGCGGUUUUGUAAGUCUGAUGUGAAAUCCCCGGGCUCAACCUGGGAAUUGCAUUGGAGACUGCAAGGCUAGAAUCUGGCAGAGGGGGGUAGAAUUCCACGGGUAGCAGUGAAAUGCGUAGAUAUGUGGAGGAACACCGAUGGCGAAGGCAGCCCCCUGGGUCAAGAUUGACGCUCAUGCACGAAAGCGUGGGGAGCAAACAGGAUUAGAAACCCGUGUAGUCC
Molecule: ribosomal RNA, 471 nt
Filed under: uncultured organism
Description: partial 16S ribosomal RNA
Rfam family: Bacterial small subunit ribosomal RNA
Source: RNAcentral